UGACAAUAUCUGGAGAGAAUAAAUGCCUACGGGAAUGUGGAAACUUAUUCUUCAGAAUAAGUCUUCUUCAGAAGACCACCUCACACCGGAAUUAGCCAGAAUUGAGUUACAUGGCAUUUCUUCAACUAUGCGAGUAGAUGGGAUUGCCAUGAUGGGCUGCAAAUUGCCCCAGAGCUGAGGACAAUAUCAGUUUCCUCAAGGUCAUGUAUGGUGAUGAUGAAGGAGGUGAGAUAUUUGAACAUAAAAGAAGGAAGAAUAGAGAAUGAGCAUCAGAUAGACGAUCAGUGGUGGACUGGGGCUGCCUUGUGCAGGAAAAGAGCAGAACAUCAAGAGAGAAGGGUGAUUUAUCCUGUGACCAGAGUGCACAGAAUCGACUGGAGAAACUAAUCAAAUCAGACUUGAUAAAGCCGAUGCUGCCUUAUAUCCCCUGUGCCUAGAAGCCUUGUCAAGCUGGUCUGCCAUAGAUUCUGAUUUAAAAUACAAGCUGACUCCUUCACGCCUUCUGAGUAGCAAUCCAGCUGCAUGGA
Molecule: long non-coding RNA, 527 nt
Organism: Neofelis nebulosa (Clouded leopard)
Lineage: Eukaryota; Metazoa; Chordata; Mammalia; Carnivora; Felidae
Exons: 2
Source: RefSeq, a predicted model, not a curated record